Molecule: long non-coding RNA, 510 nt
Organism: Zingiber officinale
Lineage: Eukaryota; Viridiplantae; Streptophyta; Magnoliopsida; Zingiberales; Zingiberaceae
Exons: 4
Source: RefSeq, a predicted model, not a curated record
CUCACUUGUUGGGUGCUAGGGUUUGUUCUCCUCUGUUUCCUCGGCGAAGUUCUUGCCGUCAACGACCAAUACAUGAGCAUCACCCAGUCCAUGCCUCCCGCUACACCUUUGGUGUUGCUCUAGCUCGUGAGCCCCCCAUCCCAGGCAUAAACUUCAUCAUCCAAGUGCCCAACUCAGGAUUCUUUAUGGCACUCGGCCGCCUCGGCCUCAUCUCGGUUGUCGACAACCACAUAAAAGGUAGUAUUGAAGGAACACUUGGUUCUAACUUUGUUUAGAGAUGAGGUAGAUUAUCAGCUUUAUCUUCUUCCAAGCAUUUUGGAAUCCAAAAAGUUAGUUAAAUCUGGACGAGCGAAACAAAAGUAUGCAGAUUUGGAAAAUAAUGUGGCAAAACAAGUUGAGAAGAUGAUAAGGCACAUGAAGAAGUGAAUGGAGCGAAUUUGUCUACUCCUAUGUGGGUGUCUAUGAGUUGUGUAUCUUCUAUAUAAAUUUUUGGAUUGUAUUUGAUACAUA